Molecule: long non-coding RNA, 138 nt
Organism: Cucurbita maxima (winter squash)
Lineage: Eukaryota; Viridiplantae; Streptophyta; Magnoliopsida; Cucurbitales; Cucurbitaceae
Exons: 3
Source: RefSeq, a predicted model, not a curated record
GAGAGGUUUCCACACUCUUAUAAGGAAUGUUUCGUUCCUCUCUCCAACUAAUGUGGGAUCUCACAAUCCGCCCCUCUUGGGGGCCUAGCAUUCUCUCUGGCACACCGCCCGAUGUCUGACUUUAAUACCAUUUGUAAC